This 1023-nucleotide long non-coding RNA is filed under the name Homo sapiens (human). RNAcentral's name for it is "non-protein coding EDRF1-AS1:30". The record is from RNAcentral. Lineage: Eukaryota; Metazoa; Chordata; Mammalia; Primates; Hominidae.
CAUGGCUCUAGCUUCUGGUGAGAGGUUUCAGGCUGCGUCAUAAUAUGGCAGAGAAGAUCAAUGGGUAAAUGGACAUGUGUGAAGAAAGGCAAAACCAGAGACCGUCCAGGCUGGACUUGAACUCCUUCCUCGGCUGAAGUGAUCCUCCUGCCUCAGCGUCCUGAAUAGGAAGUGGAGCCAGAAUCCACAGAUGUCAUUAUCCAUCUGCACACUUUGUUUACUACCCAGAAGGCAAGAAUAUUGCAUUUUAAAAGUGCCCGGACUUUUGUUCUUUCUUAUCACAAAUGACUUGGGAAGCUCCGACCACUCAUGUUUACCCCGAGUGAAAGUCCCAUUCAAAGCCUUGCUUCCUGGAGAGCUUUGAGAUUCUGGUACAAAAGGCAUUUUAUAAGCACAAAGUGGAAAAGCAUCAUUCAUAUUCAUUUGCUGCUGCGGCAUUUCUCCCUGGAAUCUUCCUCUUGUCUGUCAACAUUGGGCAAAAGGACUGGCCUCAUCUACAUUACAGAUAUCCUUGUGAUGGUCUGGAGGUAGGAAAAGGACACCCAGCACAAGAGUGAGAAGGGAAACUCAAGCUCUCCUGUUGGAGAGUCUCAGGCUUCUUUAUCCAUAAAACUGAUUGGACAUAAUUGGUGUGGGUUUAUGAUUUGUUUUGGAAAAACCUGAGUAUGAAAUCAAUACUGUGCUUUGUGCAUCUUGGCUGCAAUGAGUGUUUUUUAUGUGAUUGCAGGGACCUGUGGGAGAGGCGGCCAUCCAGAGGGCUCUCUGAGGGGUCAUUUAGAAUGCAACUCUUCUGGGCAGAGGAUGGUCUGCACUGGCCUCCACCACGCAGGAAGGCUUCCAGAGUGGAGAAAUGUCCACUAACAUGGCUUCUGUGAGGUAUCAUUCUGAUCAUUGUUGUUACAGGAGAGAUGAGAGGAAGUUAGAGGGGCUAGAAGAACCAGGAGACCUGUUGAAAAUCAUGAAUACAAAGAGAGGUCGUUUGCUUCUGUGCUUCAAUUCUAUAAUAAAAUGAGUACAAUGUCA